AGAGUUUGAUUCUGGCUCAGAACGAACGCUGGCGGCGCGUUUAAGCAUGCAAGUCGAGCGGCAAGGGCCUUCGGGCCCCUAGAGCGGCGGACGGGUGAGUAACACGUGGACAAUCUGCCCCCGGCCCGGGAUAGCCCAGGGAAACCUGGAUUAAUACCGGAUGAGACGGGACCCGCGAUGGCGGGAUCCGGGAAAGGCGCUGCGGCGCCGCCGGGGGAUGAGUCUGCGUCCCAUUAGCUAGACGGCGGGGUAACGGCCCACCGUGGCGACGAUGGGUAGCCGGCCUGAGAGGGUGGACGGCCACAUUGGAACUGAGACACGGUCCAGACUCCUACGGGAGGCAGCAGCUAAGAAUCUUCCGCAAUGGGCGAAAGCCUGACGGAGCCGACGCCGCGUGAACGAAGAAGGCCGUGAGGUUGUAAAGUUCUUUUCGGGAGGGGGAACAACCGUGGCAGGGAAUGGCCGCGGGAUGACGUGAAUCCCGGAAUAAGCCCCGGCUAACUACGUGCCAGCCGCGGC
RNAcentral lists this ribosomal RNA (519 nucleotides) under uncultured bacterium. RNAcentral describes it as "bacterial SSU rRNA". It matches the Rfam family "Bacterial small subunit ribosomal RNA", at positions 8 to 518 of the family's 1533-position model. The record is from RNAcentral.